Molecule: long non-coding RNA, 350 nt
Organism: Octodon degus (degu)
Lineage: Eukaryota; Metazoa; Chordata; Mammalia; Rodentia; Octodontidae
Exons: 4
Source: RefSeq, a predicted model, not a curated record
CAGAUCAGAGACCGGAAGUGGGCUGACGUAGCCGGAAGGGGAGCCCUGUGCGCCUAGUGUUGAUGUUUUCGAGCUGCCGGACCUUCUGCGGCUGAGGGGCUAGUGGGCGCGAGGAUGGUGUGCGAAAAAUGUGAAAAGAAACUUGGUACUGUUAUUACGCCGGACACAUGGAAAGAUGGUGCGAGAAAUACCACAGAAAGUGGUGGAAGAAAACUGAAUGAAAAUAAAGCAUUGACUUCAAAAAAGGCAAGAUUCGAUCCGUAUGGAAAGAAUAAGUUCUCCACUUGCAGAAUUUGUAAAAGCUCUGUGCACCAGCCGGGGUCCCACUACUGCCAGGGCUGCGCCUACAA